RNAcentral lists this non-coding RNA (100 nucleotides) under Kluyvera ascorbata. RNAcentral describes it as "antisense sRNA RprA". It matches the Rfam family "RprA RNA". From Rfam's summary of the family: Translational regulation of the stationary phase sigma factor RpoS is mediated by the formation of a double-stranded RNA stem-loop structure in the upstream region of the rpoS messenger RNA, occluding the translation initiation site. Clones carrying rprA (RpoS regulator RNA A) increased the translation of RpoS. The record is from RNAcentral. Lineage: Bacteria; Pseudomonadati; Pseudomonadota; Gammaproteobacteria; Enterobacterales; Enterobacteriaceae. RNAcentral also lists the same sequence under 3 other names.
AAGACAUUAAAUCAACCCCUUGAUUUAUAUAUCCCCUGAGUGAAACUAAGAAUUGCUGUGUGUAGUCUUUGCCCAUCUCCCACGAUGGGCCUUUUUUUUU